UGGGGAAUUUUGGACAAUGGGCGAAAGCCUGAUCCAGCAAUGCCGCGUGUGUGAAGAAGGCCUUCGGGUUGUAAAGCACUUUUGUCCGGAAAGAAAUCCUUGGCUCUAAUACAGUCGGGGGAUGACGGUACCGGAAGAAUAAGCACCGGCUAACUACGUGCCAGCAGCCGCGGUAAUACGUAGGGUGCAAGCGUUAAUCGGAAUUACUGGGCGUAAAGCGUGCGCAGGCGGUUUGCUAAGACCGAUGUGAAAUCCCCGGGCUCAACCUGGGAACUGCAUUGGUGACUGGCAGGCUAGAGUAUGGCAGAGGGGGGUAGAAUUCCACGUGUAGCAGUGAAAUGCGUAGAGAUGUGGAGGAAUACCGAUGGCGAAGGCAGCCCCCUGGGGCCAAUACUGACGCUCAUGCACGAAAGCGUGGGGGAGCAAACAGGAUUAGAUACCCUGGUAGUCCACGCCCUAAACGAUGUCAACUAGGUUGUUGGGGAUUCAUUUCCUUAGUAACGUAGCUAACGCGUGAAGUUGACCGCCUGGGGAGUACGGUCGCAAGAUUAAAACUCAAAU
RNAcentral lists this ribosomal RNA (561 nucleotides) under uncultured bacterium. Its description in RNAcentral is "partial 16S ribosomal RNA". It matches the Rfam family "Bacterial small subunit ribosomal RNA", at positions 355 to 906 of the family's 1533-position model. The record is from RNAcentral.